Molecule: ribosomal RNA, 253 nt
Filed under: uncultured bacterium
Lineage: Bacteria
Description: partial 16S ribosomal RNA
Rfam family: Bacterial small subunit ribosomal RNA
Source: RNAcentral
UACGUAGGGUGCGAGCGUUAAUCGGAAUUACUGGGCGUAAAGCGUGCGCAGGCGGUGAUGUAAGACAGGUGUGAAAUCCCCGGGCUUAACCUGGGAACUGCAUUUGUGACUGCAUCGCUGGAGUGCGGCAGAGGGGGAUGGAAUUCCGCGUGUAGCAGUGAAAUGCGUAGAUAUGCGGAGGAACACCGAUGGCGAAGGCAAUCCCCUGGGCCAACACUGACACUCAGGCACGAAAGCGUGGGGAGCAAACAGG